Molecule: long non-coding RNA, 333 nt
Organism: Oreochromis aureus
Lineage: Eukaryota; Metazoa; Chordata; Actinopteri; Cichliformes; Cichlidae
Exons: 3
Source: RefSeq, a predicted model, not a curated record
UCAGAUGACAAAAGAAAUUAUUGCAUAGAAGUGACCAGAGGUUUGGUUUGAAAUUUUGGCCUUCAUUUUGGUGUGCUGCUUAAGAGAGGUCUGGUAUGUCAUCAACUGCAAGACUGUGAACUGUACAAAGUAUAAUUUUACAAACUGGACAGCCAACAGUACUGGAGCCAGAUGCUGUUAACCCAUGCUGGAACUGAUCUGGCUGGCACUAGGACCACACAGUCUUGUGCACCAACCCCCGAGAUACUGGGGUUCAGUAACCUGCCAAAAGACUGAAGACUGAAGGAGCCCAGAACUGGAUCACCAACUUUCCAGCUGUUAGACCUCAUGAGC